AUGAUCCUAGGAUGACCAUUGUGUGUACAAAGACACAGGGGUCAAAGUUAUAGACAUUAUUAUUAAUUGUUUGUACUGAGCUGGUAUCCAGAGACCUCAAUCAGGGAAAAAGGCUCCACUGUGCUAGGUGUUAUACUCAAAAUUAGUUGAACCAACAUGCAGAUGCAGAGGAGCACAAGAUUCCAGCAAAAUAAGUAUGAUACAUGUAAUAAGUUACUGUCCAGUUACUAGGUAGACAAAACUCUUGGGGUAGAGUCGAUAUCUUUCACUAGAGUAACUAAAUAGUUGCAAAAAUGUUUUUUUCUUUGCAAGCUUUUGGGUCCACAUUGCUCUUCAUCAGGCAAAAGAGAAUUCAAAGAUUGUAAAAUUUCUCCCAGGUAGAAAAGAAAAUUAAUCUUGCACAGGGGAACUCAGAGAUGGCAGGGUUCCCCUGCAUGGAAAGCCCAGUUUGUAAAAAAGCUGCUCUGCAUCGUGGUGGAGAUGAGUUUUCGGGACUACACUAUAGUGACUUUGUGGGGAUUUACAGCCAACUUCCCCCAUGUGUAAGGGCUGGUCGGAGAAAAGAUGAAGGUACUUCUAAUGAUUUAAGAAGAAAGGCAGGAUGAAGGAAGGAAGCACUUCAUGGUAAAUGACUUGGUGG
Gavialis gangeticus (Gharial) is the source of this 640-nucleotide long non-coding RNA. RefSeq lists it as uncharacterized. NCBI's taxonomy places the organism in Eukaryota, Metazoa, Chordata, Crocodylia, Gavialidae. The transcript is spliced from 3 exons. The record is from RefSeq and is a predicted model, not a curated record.